AUUGAACGCUGGCGGCAGGCUUAACACAUGCAAGUCGAGCGAGCGGCGGACGGGUGAGUAAUGUCUGGGAAACUGCCUGAUGGAGGGAGAUAACUACGGGAAAAGGUAGCUAAUACCGCAUACACUAACAUGUGCCCAGAUGGGAGUAGCGAGGAGGUGGGGUAAUGGCGCACCUAGUCGACGAUCCCUAGCUGGUCUGAGAGGAUGAACAGCCACACGGGAACUGAGAGACGGUCCAUACGCCUAUGGUAUGCAGCAGGUGGGAAUAUUUCACAAUGGGCGCAGUCCUGAUGCCGCCAUGCCGCGUGUGGUAAGAAGGCCUUCGGGUUGUAAAGCACUUUCAUCUAGGAGGCGUUACUCGCAGAAGAAGCACCGGCUAACUCCGUGCCAGCCGCCGCGGUAAUAC
This 406-nucleotide ribosomal RNA is filed under the name uncultured bacterium. Its description in RNAcentral is "partial 16S ribosomal RNA". It matches the Rfam family "Bacterial small subunit ribosomal RNA", at positions 30 to 526 of the family's 1533-position model. The record is from RNAcentral.